RNAcentral lists this ribosomal RNA (410 nucleotides) under actinobacterium enrichment culture clone LiUU-16-395. RNAcentral describes it as "bacterial SSU rRNA". It matches the Rfam family "Bacterial small subunit ribosomal RNA", at positions 509 to 916 of the family's 1533-position model. Lineage: Bacteria; Bacillati; Actinomycetota; Actinomycetes. The record is from RNAcentral.
CAGCCGCCGCGGUAAUACGUAGGGUGCGAGCGUUGUCCGGAUUUAUUGGGCGUAAAGGGCUCGUAGGUGGUUGAUCGCGUCGGAAGUGUAAUCUUGGGGCUUAACCCUGAGCGUGCUUUCGAUACGGGUUGACUUGAGGAAGGUAGGGGAGAAUGGAAUUCCUGGUGGAGCGGUGGAAUGCGCAGAUAUCAGGAGGAACACCAGUGGCGAAGGCGGUUCUCUGGGCCUUUCCUGACGCUGAGGAGCGAAAGCGUGGGGAGCGAACAGGCUUAGAUACCCUGGUAGUCCACGCUGUAAACGGUGGGUACUAGGUGUGGGGUCCAUUCCACGGGUUCCGUGCCGUAGCUAACGCUUUAAGUACCCCGCCUGGGGAGUACGGCCGCAAGGCUAAAACUCAAAGGAAUUGACGG